This 462-nucleotide ribosomal RNA is filed under the name uncultured bacterium. Its description in RNAcentral is "partial 16S ribosomal RNA". It matches the Rfam family "Bacterial small subunit ribosomal RNA", at positions 28 to 505 of the family's 1533-position model. The record is from RNAcentral.
GACGAACGCUGGCGGCGUGCUUAACACAUGCAAGUCGAACGAUGAAGCCAGCUUGCUGGUGGAUUAGUGGCGAACGGGUGAGUAACACGUGGGUGAUCUGCCCCAAACUUUGGGAUAAGCCUGGGAAACUGGGUCUAAUACCGAAUAUGACCGAUACUCGCAUGGGUGUUGGUGGAAAGCUCCGGCGGUUUGGGAUGGGCCCGCGGCCUAUCAGCUUGUUGGUGGGGUAAUGGCCUACCAAGGCGACGACGGGUAGCCGGCCUGAGAGGGCGACCGGCCACACUGGGACUGAGACACGGCCCAGACUCCUACGGGAGGCAGCAGUGGGGAAUAUUGCACAAUGGGCGCAAGCCUGAUGCAGCGACGCCGCGUGAGGGAUGACGGCCUUCGGGUUGUAAACCUCUUUCACCAGGGACGAAGCGAAAGUGACGGGACCUGGAGAAGAAGCACCGGCCAACUACG